This 465-nucleotide ribosomal RNA is filed under the name uncultured bacterium. Its description in RNAcentral is "partial 16S ribosomal RNA". It matches the Rfam family "Bacterial small subunit ribosomal RNA", at positions 338 to 795 of the family's 1533-position model. The record is from RNAcentral.
CCUACGGGAGGCAGCAGUAGGGAAUCUUCCACAAUGGGCGAAAGCCUGAUGGAGCAACGCCGCGUGGGUGAAGAAGGUCUUCGGAUCGUAAAACCCUGUUGUUAGAGAAGAAAGUGCGUGAGAGUAACUGUUCACGUUUCGACGGUAUCUAACCAGAAAGCCACGGCUAACUACGUGCCAGCAGCCGCGGUAAUACGUAGGUGGCAAGUGUUAUCCGGAUUUAUUGGGCGUAAAGGGAACGCAGGCGGUCUUUUAAUUCUGAUGUGAAAGCCUUCGGCUUAACCGGAGUAGUGCAUUGGAAACUGGGAGACUGGAGGGCAGAAGAGGAGAGUGGAACUCCAUGUGUAGCGGGGAAAUGCGUAGAUAUAUGGAAGAACACCAGUGGCGAAAGCGGCUCUCUGGUCUGUAACUGACGCUGAGGUUCGAAAGCGUGGGUAGCAAACAGGAUUAGAUACCCGGGUAGUC